This 117-nucleotide ribosomal RNA is filed under the name Danio rerio (zebrafish). The record is from RNAcentral. Lineage: Eukaryota; Metazoa; Chordata; Actinopteri; Cypriniformes; Danionidae.
AGCCACAAUCAUAUCGCCCAGCAGUCCAAGACAAGUCAUUCACUGAAGCUAAGCAAAGCUGAGCCUGGUCAGUACCUGAGUAGGAGACCACAUAGAAAAACUAGGUUGCUGUUGAAA